Molecule: ribosomal RNA, 1588 nt
Filed under: Antrodiaetus pacificus
Lineage: Eukaryota; Metazoa; Arthropoda; Arachnida; Araneae; Antrodiaetidae
Description: SSU rRNA
Rfam family: Eukaryotic small subunit ribosomal RNA
Source: RNAcentral
GGUUCCUUAGAUCGUACAUUACUACUUGGAUAACUGUGGUAAUUCUAGAGCUAAUACAUGCAUCAGGGUCCCGACCCUCCUCGCGGGGGAAAGGGCGCUUUUAUUAGACCAAAACCAGUCGGACUUCGGUCCGUCAAUUUCUGUGGUGACUCUGUAUAACUUUGGGCGGAUCGCACGGGCUCGUCCCGGCGACAAAUCUUUCAAGUGUCUGCCUUAUCAACUGUCGAUGGUAAGUUACGCGCUUACCAUGGUCGUAACGGGUAACGGGGAAUUAGGGUUCGAUUCCGGAGAGGGAGCCUGAGAAACGGCUACCACAUCCAAGGAAGGCAGCAGGCGCGCAAAUUACCCAAUCCCGGCACGGGGAGGUAGUGACGAAAAAUAACAAUACGGGACUCUUUUGAGACCCCGUAAUUGGAAUGAGUACAGCCUAAAUCCUUUGGCGAGGAUCAAUUGGAGGGCAAGUCUGGUGCCAGCAGCCGCGGUAAUUCCAGCUCCAAUAGCGUAUAUUAAAGUUGUUGCGGUUGAAAAGCUCGUAGUUGGAUCUCAGUUACGGACGGGAGGUGCGCCUAACGGCGUCCCACUUCCCGGCUUCAGCAGCAACGCCGGUUUCCCCCGAUGAUCUUCACCGGUUGUCUCGGGUGACCGGCACGUUUACUUUGAAAAAAUUAGAGUGCUCAAAGCAGGCUAAAAUUGCCGGAAUAAUGGUGCAUGGAAUAAUGGAAAAAGACUCUCGGUCCCAUUUUGUUGGUUUUUAGGGACCCGAGGUAAUGAUUAAGAGGGACAGACGGGGGCAUUCGUAUUGCGACGCUAGAGGUGAAAUUCUUGGACCGUCGCAAGACGAACUACUGCGAAAGCAUUUGCCAAGAAUGUUUUCUUUAAUCAAGAACGAAAGUUAGAGGUUCGAAGGCGAUCAGAUACCGCCCUAGUUCUAACCAUAAACGAUGCCAACUAGCAAUCCGCCUGAGUUCCUCAAAUGACUCGGCGGGCGGCUUCCGGGAAACCAAAGUGUUUGGGUUCCGGGGGAAGUAUGGUUGCAAAGCUGAAACUUAAAGGAAUUGACGGAAGGGCACCACCAGGAGUGGAGCCUGCGGCUUAAUUUGACUCAACACGGGAAAACUUACCCGGCCCGGACACUGGAAGGAUUGACAGAUUAAGAGCUCUUUCUUGAUUCAGUGGGUGGUGGUGCAUGGCCGUUCUUAGUUGGUGGAGCGAUUUGUCUGCUUAAUUGCGAUAACGAACGAGAUUCUAGCCUAUUAAAUAGGCGGCAUAUCCGAUCACUUACAAAGUCGGACGAUCUUCUUAGAGGGACAAGCGGCGUUUAGCCGCACGAAACGGAGCAAUAACAGGUCUGUGAUGCCCUUAGAUGUCCGGGGCCGCACGCGCGCUACACUGAAGGAAUCAGCGUGUGUUUUCCCUGUCCGGAAGGACUGGGUAACCCGCUCAACCUCCUUCGUGCUAGGGAUAGGAGCUUGGAAUUCUUCUCCUUGAACGAGGAAUUCCCAGUAAGCACGAGUCAUAAGCUCGUGCUGAUUAAGUCCCUGCCCUUUGUACACACCGCCCGUCGCUACUACCGAUUGAAUGAUUUAGU